This 464-nucleotide ribosomal RNA is filed under the name uncultured bacterium. RNAcentral describes it as "partial 16S ribosomal RNA". It matches the Rfam family "Bacterial small subunit ribosomal RNA", at positions 338 to 795 of the family's 1533-position model. The record is from RNAcentral.
CCUACGGAUAGCUGCAGUGGGGAAUAUUGCACAAUGGGGGGAACCCUGAUGCAGCCAUGCCGCGAGAAUGAAGAAGGCCUUCGGGUUGUAAAGUUAUUUCGGUAGCGAGGAAGGCAUUUAGUUUAAUAGACUAGAUGAUUGACGUUAACUACAGAAGAAGCACCGGCUAACUCCGUGCCAGCAGCCGCGGUAAUACGGGGGAUGGGAGCGUUAACCGGAAUAACUGGGGUUAAAGGGCACGCAGGCGGAAAGUAAAGUCAGCGGUAAAAUCGCGGGGUUUAACCUGGAUACGGCGUUUCAACUGGUGUUCUGGAGUGAGCGAGAGGUAUGCGGAAUGCGUGGUGUAGCGGUGAAAUGCUUAGAGAUCAUACAGAACACCGAUGGCGAAGGCAGCUUACCAAGCUACUUCUGACGUUGAGGCACGAAAGCGUGGGGAGCAAACAGGAUUAGAUACCCCGGUAGUC